UUACUUAAAAUCUCAUAUUGGAAUAGAUUUUUAAGAUAUUAAUUACAUACACAAAAAUUUAAAUCCUCUAUAAUUUUAGACUUACCUUUAAUAUAUAUAUUUUGCAGGCAAGACAAUUAUGAGACGGAUCUUAGCCAGUACGACUGUGUACAGGUCAGUCUUCAGUGGCUAUCAUGAUGGUAGGUCUCCGGAGACAUAAUAAUUUGGGAUCAUAAUUUUAGGUUAUGGUAAUUAUAAGGAGAAAGCACUUAUAACGUCUUUAUAUUGGGCACAUGUGGGCAGAGAGCAGUAACAGACAGAAGGAAAGAACGGUUCCAAAGCAUUUGGACCGUAGGGGUUUUGACUCCGACCUGCAAGAAGUGAGAUCCACAUGCCCUGACUAGUCCAAGUAAGUAAUUAUCAAAAGACGGUGCCAAGCCGGGGAGGCUAUGUACAUGGCUUGGCUACAUUGCCCAAGUGGAUGGCUAUCAGUGUAUUAUCAAGAGAUAGGAGAGGGAGGAGGCGUAGUUAACAUAUUAUCAAUAAUGGUAUCAAUUACGGGGUUUAUUUGUCUAUGCAGGCUUUGGUUUUGGCUACAUUGAUGGUGAAGGCUGCUAUGAUUGUGGUGACUUGUGGAUGGUUCUGGCUUUAGCGAAGACGGUUCUCACUGUGGUGAAGAAGGUUAUGGUUAUGGUGAAGUUCGUUUUUGUUAAGAUAAAGAUGGUUCUGGUUGAGAUAAAGACGGUUCUGUUUUUGGUAAAUAUGGUUCUGGUUGCAGUGAAGAUGGUUCUGGUUGAGAUUAAGAUGGUUCUAGUUUGGGUGAGAAUGGUUCUGGUUGCGGUGAAGACGGUUCUGGUUGAGAUAAAGACGGUUCUGUUUUUGAUAAAUAUGGUUCUGGUUGCAAUGAAGAUGGUUCUGGUUGAGAUUAAGAUGGUUCUAGUUUGGGUGAGAAUGGUUCUGGUUGCGGUGAAGACGGUUCUGGUUGAGAUUAAGAUUGUUCCUGGUUGUGGUGAAGAUGGUUCUGGCUGUGGUGAAGGUGGUUCUGGUUGUAGUGAAGAUGGUUCGUCACGUGAGGGUGGUACUGAUUAAAGUGAAAAUAUCUCAGACAAAAAAAUCGUAAAGAUCAUUAUAGACAUCGUAGGCGUAGUCUGAUGGCUGAUAGUCAUUCUCCGUCUCCUGGAAUUAAUCAAAUAUUCACCAAAUACUGACCACCAGAUCAGUAGUUCUGGUGGUCAAUAUACACAGUAGUUUUGGUGGUGGUGGUGUCGGAACUGAGAGUACGUGUACGUAUGGUUGAGCUUCAGAUUCGAAAUAAAGAGACCCC
Non-coding RNA from Procambarus clarkii (red swamp crayfish), 1303 nucleotides. The record is from RefSeq and is a predicted model, not a curated record. NCBI's taxonomy places the organism in Eukaryota, Metazoa, Arthropoda, Malacostraca, Decapoda, Cambaridae.